AGCAGCCGCGGUAAUUCCAGCUCCAAUAGCGUAUAUUAAAGUUGUUGCAGUUAAAAAGCUCGUAGUUGAAUUUCGGGAUUGACACAUCGGUCGUGCCUUAAGGGGUAUGAACUGGUGUAGUCAAUUUCUCACCUUCUGGAGAACCGCGAUGUCCUUAAUUGGGUGCCGCGAGGAACCAGGACCUUUACUUUGAAAAAUUAGAGUGUUUAAAGCAGGCAUUUUGCUUGAAUACAUUAGCAUGGAAUAAUAAAAUAGGACGGAUGAUUCUAUUUUGUUGGUUUCUAGGACCACCGUAAUGAUUAAUAGGGAUAGUUGGGGGCAUUAGUAUUCAAUUGUCAGAGGUGAAAUUCUUGGAUUUAUUGAAGACUAACUACUGCGAAAGCAUUUGCCAAGGAUGUUUUCAUUAAUCAAGAACGAAAGUUAGGGGAUCGAAGACGAUCAGAUACCGUCGUAGUCUUAACCAUAAACUAUGCCGACUAGGAAUCAGACGAUGUUAAUUUUUAAUGUACUCGUUUGGCAC
Molecule: ribosomal RNA, 520 nt
Filed under: uncultured Entrophospora
Lineage: Eukaryota; Fungi; Glomeromycota; Glomeromycetes; Entrophosporales; Entrophosporaceae
Description: SSU rRNA
Rfam family: Eukaryotic small subunit ribosomal RNA
Source: RNAcentral